RNA transcript from Grammomys surdaster, 1716 nucleotides. It is a transcript of the gene named transmembrane protein 134, with no coding region annotated. Lineage: Eukaryota; Metazoa; Chordata; Mammalia; Rodentia; Muridae. The record is from RefSeq and is a predicted model, not a curated record. The transcript has 8 exons.
GCGCCUAGGCCGGCGCGGGCCAUGAGCUCUGCCCGGCCCCAGUUUAGCAUCGAUGACGCCUUCGAGCUGACCCUGGAGGACGCGGGGCCUGGGCCCGAGUCCAGCGGGGUCGCCCGCUUCGGGCCGCUGCACUUCGAACGCCGGGCCCGGUUCGAGGUAGCUGAUGAAGACAAGCAAUCCCGGCUACGCUACCAGAACCUGGAAAAUGAUGAGGACGGAGCCCAGGCCUCUCCAGAGCCUGAUGGGGGAGUCAGCACCAGAGAUUCCGGGCACACGUCUAUCCGUAGCUCCCAAUGGUCCUUCAGCACCAUCAGCAGCAGCACCCAGCGCUCCUACAACGCCUGCUGCAGCUGGACCCAACAUCCUUUGAUCCAGAAAAACCGCCGGGUAGUGCUGGCCUCCUUCCUACUUCUGCUGUUGGGACUAGUGCUCAUCCUGGUCGGCGUGGGACUGGAGGUCGCCCCCUCUCCAGGUGUCUCCAGCGCCAUCUUCUUCGUGCCAGGCAUCCUUCUGCUAGUCCCAGGAGAAAACUUUUUCCACUCAAGGCCCUGACCGGUCACCUUCAGCACUGCCACUCUCUCAUGCCUGAGUCGUCUUUUCUCUGCUUCUUUUCAGACUUUGGAAUGUUCUUCUGGAGUUGAAAGUUCUGCCGGUCUUGCCUAGGCCUCCUGUACAGAGAUUACCAGCAUGGACUACCACACCCAGAUUCAAGUUCACUUCUCACUUAUUUAUUUAUUUACUCAUUGCAGGGGUUGCGUAGGGGUGGGUGGACAAGGCAUUAGCCUGCCAAAGAACAACUUUGUGAAGUUGGCUCUCUUCUUCCACCACACCAAACUUCAGGGAUCCAAUUCAGGCUUGGUGGCAAAAGCUUUUACCUACUAAGUCAUUACCAGACACAAGUUCAUUUUUCAAAAACAACCCUUUAUGUACACAAGCAGUGGGAAGUGUUCUAGCUACCCUCUCAAUUCAUCAUGUCCUAGGAAUUCCCCUAAUGCACUAUGCCUCAUUUAUUUGAAUGCAGCCAGUGCUGGGGAACUCCCUACCUCACCAGUAUCUAAAGAGAUUCAAAUCUUGUUCUCCAGUGAAAACUGCAACCAGCUUCAAUUUUUUUCCCGGGUGGGAGGAGAAGACAGCACAGGCAGAUACUGGAGUUGGGUGUGGUCAAAGAUGAACCAGCAUGAGGUGUGGGGGGAAUCUCUCCCAAGUUGAGAAAGGGUGUGGUAGUCUGGUUCAUGCUGGUGUCUUGGCCUCCAGGGGCAGUAGGAUGUCCCUGAAGGUGCCUCAGCCUGUAGAUAGCAUCAAUACAAACUCUGCCAGAAAGAGGGGAAGGGAAAGGCCAAUCCAGGUCAGGGAUUGUAGGAGGUUCAAGGUGCUAGAGGCAUGGGAGAGGUGUCUGAAAGGGUGACUCACCGUCAAAGUCUAUGGUGCCAUCUCCAUUGAGGUCCAUGUCUCGCAACAUCUCGUCCAGUUCAGUGCCCUCUAGUGGUUCCCCCAGCAGAGCUGGUGCUGCCUGUCGCAGCUCCGCCACUGUGAUCCGUCCAUCCCUGUCCUUGUCAAACUAUUGAGUAGAGCGUCCAAGCACUUGUAUGCCACAUUGUCUGCAUAUUUGGCUCUACUCGCUUUGUUUUCUUUCCUUAUUUAUUUAUUUAUUUAUUUAUUUAUUUAUUUAUUUUGGUUUUUCGAGACAGGGUUUCUCUGUGUAGCCCUGGCUGUCCU